AAAAUGUUCCUCAUCAGGAGGUGAAGGAGAAGAUAAACUUGAGAUGGACAAAUGACCAAGAAAGUUUGCAAUUUGAACAAUAUAGGCAUUUUGAGUUUGACAAAGAGCAGUCUUGUAAAGACUGCAGCAAAGAUGAUAUAGUGAAGAUUUUAAACAUGCCUUUGAUUGGAGCAGUAGCAGCCGCAAUGAGAAAGUUUAAUUUAAAAAAAGAAAAUUUAGUUUUUUAAAACUUUAGAUUUUGAUGGCUAUAUCAUUAGAAUAGAACUGAAGAGGGUAGACCCUGACCAAAAUGUAGA
Eurytemora carolleeae is the source of this 296-nucleotide long non-coding RNA. RefSeq lists it as uncharacterized. The record is from RefSeq and is a predicted model, not a curated record. NCBI's taxonomy places the organism in Eukaryota, Metazoa, Arthropoda, Copepoda, Calanoida, Temoridae. The transcript has 3 exons.